Marmota monax (woodchuck) is the source of this 9476-nucleotide RNA transcript. It is a transcript of the gene named ERCC excision repair 6 like 2, with no coding region annotated. NCBI's taxonomy places the organism in Eukaryota, Metazoa, Chordata, Mammalia, Rodentia, Sciuridae. The transcript has 21 exons. The record is from RefSeq and is a predicted model, not a curated record.
GGCUCGGACGCCGCCGACCCGCUCGGCUGGGUCCUCUGACCCCCUCCCGGCCCCGCGAGGGGCUUGGGGGCGAUGCGCGGAGCGCGGCUGGCGGUGGCGUGGGCCGCAGCUGGCCCGCCCGCCCGCCAGGGGUUCGGUGCCGCCGGGCUGCCCGGCUCCGGCCCCCGGCCCGAUGGAUCCGGAGGCCCCGAGGUCGCGCGCGGAAUCCGCCCGCAAAGACAGGUGGCUUCCAGGAGAAAGAUGUCUUGCUCCUUCUCCAUAUGAUGAAAAACUUUGUGAAGCAAGCAUAAAAUCUAUCACAGUGGAUGAAAAUGGCAAGUCAUUUGCUGUUGUCUUAUAUUCAGAUUUUCAAGAAAGGAAAAUACCUCUUAAAAGACUUCAAGAAGUAAAAUCUGCUAAAGGUUGCCCCAGGAGUUUUAUAUUUGAUGAUGAAGAUUUGGAAAAACCAUUUUUCCCAGACCGAAAAUUUCCAUCAUCUGCUAAUGCCUUUAAAUUAUCUGAAGAUGGAGAUUCUAUUCCUUAUACCAUUAAUAGGUAUUUGAGAGACUACCAAAGGGAAGGAGCUCAGUUUCUCUAUGGACACUACAUCCAAGGAAGAGGAUGUAUUCUGGGUGAUGACAUGGGACUUGGAAAAACAGUUCAGGUUAUUUCAUUUCUGGCUGCAGUGUUGCAUAAAAAGGGAACACGUGAGGAUAUUGAAAAUAACAUGCCAGAAUUUUUACUAAGAAGUAUGAAGAAGGAACUGCUUUCUUCUAUAGCAAAAAAGAUGUUCUUAAUAGUUGCUCCUCUUUCUGUCCUCUACAACUGGAAGGAUGAAUUGGAUACCUGGGGAUAUUUCAGAGUCACUGUUUUACACGGUAACAAAAAAGACAAUGAACUGCUUCGUAUAAAGCAGAGGAAAUGCGAAAUUGCUCUAACAACUUAUGAAACACUGCGCUUGUGUCUGGAUGAACUUAACAGUUUGGAGUGGUCAGCUAUCAUUGUGGAUGAGGCUCAUAGAAUCAAGAAUCCAAAGGCGAGAGUAACAGAAGUAAUGAAAGCGCUCAAGUGUAAUGUUCGCAUUGGCCUCACUGGAACCAUUCUUCAGAACAACAUGAAGGAACUGUGGUGUGUUAUGGACUGGGCUGUGCCAGGACUUUUAGGUAGCAGGAUCCACUUCAAGAAGCAGUUUUCUGACCCAGUAGAACAUGGUCAGAGACACACAGCAACAAAAAGAGAACUAGCUACUGGCCGAAAGGCCAUGCAAAGGCUUGCAGAAAAGAUGUCUGGCUGGUUUCUCAGGCGAACCAAGACUCUCAUCAAGGAUCAGUUGCCUAAGAAGGAAGAUCGGAUGGUUUAUUGCUCUCUGACGGAUUUCCAGAAAGCUGUCUAUCAAACAGUGUUAGAAACAGAAGAUGUCACUCUGAUACUUCAAUCUUCUAUGCCUUGUACCUGCAGCAGUGGCCGGAAAAGGAGAAAUUGUUGUUAUAAGACCAAUUCCCGUGGUGAAACGGUACAAACCUUGUGUCUCAGUUACCUCGCAGUCCUUCAGAAGGUGGCUAAUCAUGUCGCACUGUUGCAAGCUGCCAGUACCUCCAAACAACAGGAAACACUUAUCAAAAGGAUAUGUGAUCAGGUAUUUUCCAAAUUCCCGGAUUUUGUGCAGAAAAGCAAAGAAUCGUCCUUUGAAACUCUUUCUGAUCCUAAAUACAGUGGGAAAAUGAAGGUUCUUCAGCAGCUUUUAAAUCAUUUCCGAAAAAACAGAGAUAAGGUUCUUCUCUUCUCUUUUUCCACCAAGUUGCUUGAUGUGCUCCAGCAAUACUGUAUGGCAUCUGGGCUGGAUUACCGGCGACUUGAUGGAAGUACAAAAUCAGAGGAAAGGCUCAGGAUCGUGAAGGAGUUCAACAGUACACAAGAUGUUAACAUUUGCCUUGUCUCUACUAUGGCUGGUGGACUCGGCCUCAACUUUGUUGGUGCCAAUGUUGUUAUAUUAUUUGAUCCAACUUGGAAUCCAGCCAAUGAUCUUCAAGCUAUUGACAGAGCAUACAGGAUUGGACAGUGCAGAGAUGUUAAAGUGCUUAGGCUGAUAUCCUUGGGAACUGUGGAAGAGAUCAUGUAUCUACGACAGGUAUACAAACAGCAACUUCACUGUGUGGUAGUUGGAAGUGAAAAUGCCAAGCGAUAUUUUGAAGCAGUUCAAGGAUCAAAAGAGCAUCGAGGAGAACUUUUUGGGACCUAUAAUCUCUUCAGACUAAGACCCCAAGGAUCUUGUCUUACGAGGGACAUCUUGGAGAGAGAAGGCCAAGUGGAAGCAGGAAUCAUGACUGCCACAACAUGGUUGAAAGAGAGACCUCCAGCACACAACCCAGAAACGCCCAGGGAGCCUGAUUGUCAAGAACCCAGAGGACAAGACCCACCUGCAGACCCACUGGCAGUGGACGCCUGUGAUCUCUGCAGCGACUUUAGUGAUGACGAGUCAGUGAGAGCCUCAAGAAUAAAGACUUCUAACGGCAAAGCAUCUGACGCAAGCAAAGCUGCAGGUUCUUCAGGGCAGCUGACCUUACUCCAGUGUGGCUUCUCUAAACUGUUGGAGGCAAAGUGUACAGCAGUUAAAGAUGGCAAGGGAAAUACUGCAUCUGGUGGUGAAAGUUCUGAUGAGCAGCCCAAUUGCCUUCCAGCAGAAGCCAAAGAUGCUGGUUGUCAGAAAACUCAGGACACUGUUGGUACUUCAGAACACCAGACAUUAGAUAAAAUCCUAAAUUCAAAUGAGAAACGUGUUUUUGAUAAAAGUGAGAAACUAUUAGAACAGAAUGCUUCUUCUGAGUCUGAUGUUGAAAAAAACUCUUCACAUCUGGUGGGACGUCAUUGCAAUAUACAGAAUGGCACAGAAUCAGAAGAUAGUGAUGUCAUCUUUCCCACACAAUAUGCAACUCCACGAUUCCCUAACAAUCGAGUAAGGAGUAAGCAACUCUUAGAUGAAUCUGAAGAUUCUGAAACAGAAAACCCUGUAAAAAUAAGAAACAAUGGUGAUGGUGAAGAGACUAAUGACAGAAGACAUGGACUCAUUUCAAAAAAUUUAAAUCCUGAGAACAGGACCCUGAAACCUAUUAUGAAAAGCCAAGACACUGGUGAUAUUAGUGACGAAUCUGAUGACAUUGAAAUGUACCCCAAGAUGAGGGUAAGAAAACAAAGAUCUACUAGUCGAUUGAGGCUUAAGAGGAAAAAGGAAAACAAAAGACAACUUUACAAUUUUCCUAAAACAAUGAAGAAAACAAACCAAUUGUGUGCAACAGAUGAGGGUAGUAACUCUCAAAUUAUUGAUGACUUUUCAUCAUCAGAUGACAGUAUAUCUGUCAGCCACUUCAGUGGCUCUAAACAGAGCCAUACAGCAAAAACUAUAAAAGACAAAAUCAGUUUCUCUGCAAAAUUGCCUAGGCAUCAUAAGAAAAUUAACACUUUUAUACCAAGAAAACCAAUGAAAUUUUCAAAUGAGAAAGUUGCCAAUCAAGAGCAGAUGUAUGAAUCAAUGGAUAAACUUUUAGGUGGUGUUCAGGAAGUGGCUUAUAUUCACUCAAACCAGCAUGUGAUAGGAUCCAGCAAAGCUGAGAAUCAUAUGAGCCGGUGGGCAGCGCGUGACGUGUUUGAGUUGAAGCAGUUUUCCCAGCUUCCUGCUAACAUAGCUAUUUGCAGUUCUGAGACAUAUAAAGAAAAAGCGAACCCAGCUACAGUAACACACACGAGGACAGACCAGCCACCAAGUGAAGGACCCGGUUCCUCUCCCCUGUGCGUUUCACACCCUGUAAGUCAGAAGAAGAAAAAAGUCUACCGUACAGACCAGACGACCUUCAUAAUUGGAGAAACACCAAAAGGAAUCCGCAGGAAAAAUGAUCAGGGAACGUCACUGUAAGGAGGUGACCCUGAGCCAAGGCCUGCAUUGUUCCUUCUACACCCAGGGCACCCAGAAGGUCUGUGCUGGUGUCUGGAAAUAUCCAAAGUAAACAGAAAGCUGUAUCUUUUGCUCCUGCCCAGCCUGAACAAGCUCUUUCCCAGCAAGCACAGGAGGGCUUGGGUCCAGGAGAGAAGAAUCUCCCAGCAUCAGCAUCUGCUGCUCCAAUCGGUGGCUUUCCAAAUGCCAUAAAGCUGAGGCGCCCCAAGCAAGGGGUCCUGCGGGUAGGCUGGCUGCUCACCAGAAGCCCCAGGGCAGGGUCCAGACCAGCUUGCUCAUGUGCUGACACACUGCCUGGCUUACACACAGGGAGCGAGGCAGAGCUGCGCCUCCUCUGCGUCCCAUCACCUCCAGGAACCCACUGCCUCCUGCAUCUUCAAAGUGCCGCCAACCCGGCCCUGGUCACUGCACUCAUGACCCCGUUGCUCCAAGCCUGGUCUGCAGGCCCUUCGCCUGGGCUCAUCCCAGAGGGGCAAGCUGGCCACCUUGAGUCCACAUUGCCAGCAGGCAGAUAUUUAAUGAUCCAACUAAUUUUGGAAAACAUUAGAAUAAAAAACCAUAGGGGAAUUUAAAUCCCAGGCCCUGAACCAUGCUCCCUUCUCCAUAGGGAAGCUGGCACCCCCAGCCCUGCGACCAACACCCACGUCCCUUCCUUCAUUCAAGGAAGGCUAGGGACCCUGAUCUGAAAAGCUACCCCAGCCUCCCCUGGAAACCUCCAGGUAUGGCCAGAGCCCUUCAUGUGGGCAGCUGGGGCCAGGUCGCUGAGCUUGGGGCCUGGCCCAGCUCCCUGUUCACAGCCAUCCUCCCCUCCACAUCUGUGCCAGUGACUGCUCCUCCCAAGGACAUUCCCCAGGAGCUCCGGAGGUCUGGCUCUGCUCUGCAAAGGGUUGUUUAUCUUGCCUGGGAUUCCAAUCGCUGGUCUCCCGCCAUUGAUCUCCCUGGGGGGGUUUGCUUGGGUAUUUUUAUAAAUGCUACUUUGAUAGUUGCCCUUGCAGAGACUUGUUGUCUAUCAUGAAUGUCCUGCUCCAAACUAGGAACAGCCAAGAGGACCGCUCAUACCUUGAGACAGUUUAAAUGUAAAGCAGCGACAGCUUUCCAAGAGCCAGGGAGCUGCAGAGCCACAGGGAGAGGAGAGGGGGAGCCUCUGUGGGUCUCAAAUACAAUGCUGGUCAUCUCUGAAAUGCUUCUGUCCUCCCCAAACCCAGCAUAACGGCCUGUGAAAAGGUCCGUUCCCUCCUAGUAGAUCAAAUCUCCAAUUCUCAUGACUCCAAGCUGGCUUCAAAAUGUCGGCAGUGAAUCUUUACAUGUGAAUCUUUCUAUAUAGAAAAUAGGCCACAGGGAGGAACUUCCCUUACUGUUCCCCUACCUCUCUGCCCCGUCCUGAACGAGCCCACCGCCAAAACUCCUCUUCCUACGACCUGGCCCUGCCUGCCCAAAGUAACUAACUCCCUCCGUGACCUGGCUAAGCUAAGGCCCUAUGAACCCAGACCCUCAAGGCGGCCCGCCGGCCAUUUUCUCCCUGAAGAUGUGCCCUUCUGGUGCUGAGUAAAGCUUCAGGUCUGCCUCUAUUUUCCUUUUUGUAUUCUCUUUCACGUACUUUUGCUGUGUAUCAAGUAUUUUCUGUUUCCCACUUAAUCAGAUAGCCUGCAGAGGCACGACCCCACUUCCUGUGGACUAAGAACCAGGCCUCAGAGUUGGCAUUCUCAUUUGCAGCCCAUGUGCCUGGGCCCUCUUUGGAUCAAUGAAAGCCUUAGUGGAAAGCACUUAAUCCUAAACAGUAGUUUAUUGGCUCAUCCUCCAAAUUAUAGUAUCCAUUUGCUUGUGUAAACCCAGCAAUCACCAAUCAUAAGCAUGAACCACAAAAACCUACUUCAAGUAGGAUUUAGGCCCAGUUUUCAGUUUGGGUCUGACACAUUAUGCCUGAUCACAGGAAACCAUAAAUAAUUCCUAAGUUGGGUGUACAUCUAAUAAAGAUGUUUUCAUUGUUUGCAAAAUAAAACUCAAAUCAAGCAGGGCCACCAGGAAAGUAGGUGUCCAGACAGGGAGAGCUGGGCCUUGGCACUGACUCACUGCGACUUCUUGAAUCUAUCACCAGGUAAAAGAAGAUGCCCCUGUCUGUCUGCAGUUUUCACUUGGGAGAUUUUUUUUAGAAACAUUCAGUUAGGGGUUUAGGUACAGCCUAUUUUAGUUUGAAUCUAGAUGCUUGGUGUAGACUCUAGGCCUGCCUAGUCAUCAGCCAUCUCAUCUGCAGGGGAGGGAAAGGGAACCUGGGCCAGGAGCCAUGGGGCAGGACUUUGGGAAACCCCUGGGCCUAUGGGAAACCCAUUAGAAAUUUGUCCUGAUAACUGUUAUUCUGGUUUGGAUGUGAGGUGUCCCCCAAAAGCUCAUGUGUAAGACAAUGCAAGAAAAUUCAGAGAAGAAAUGACUGGGAUAAGAGAGCCUUAAGCCAAUCAGUGGAUCAUUCAACUGAUGAGAUUGAGUGCUGCCUCCCUCUGCCACAUUCUUCUGCCAUAAUGUUCAGCCCCAUCUUGAGCCCAAGAGGAAUGGUGUUGAACUUCUAUGGACUGAGACCUCUGAAACUGUGAGUCCCUAAAUAAACCUUUAUAAUUGUUCUAGUUGGGUCCUUUAGUCACAGUGGUGAAAAAGCUGACUAAAACAGAAAUCAGUACUGGGAGUUGAGGCUGUAGUUGUGAUGAACCUGUGUGGUUCAUGUUUUUUGGAGCAUUUUGGAAUUGGUGGGAGGAAUUUUGAGAUGUUUAGCAGUUCAAGCUGGAAAUGCUUUAGAUAGUUGUAAAUUGAGCUUAAUGGUUGAUUCUGUUAGAAGCUCAGACCAGAAUGUCAAUAGGACUGUGGACAGUGAAGACAGGGCUCAAGAGGGUUCAGAGAAGGAGGUCUCUAUUGGAAUUUUAAAUAGAGGCCAUUGGUGUUAUGUUCUGGCUGAGAAGUUGUCUGAAUUUUGUCUGUGUCCUGAGACGUUCUAUGAGGCUGAUUUUAAAAGUGAUGGACUCUUAAUCUGGUGGAAAAAAUACUUAGGUAGCACAGCAUUCAGGAGGUGGCAUGGAUAUUGCUGGCAGCUUUUAGCCAAGUUUAUUAUGAUAGGAGCAGAAAGCAGAGCAGAAAGAUUUCAAAAAACUUGGUCUUAGAAGAUGGGAAUAAAACUGGGCCUAAAGAAAUUGUAGUUGUUCAAGACUUUACUGCCACUAAGGAAAUGCUAAAGACUUUGCCCAGAGACAAUAAGAAAGAUGGCUUGAGGGGCAUCUCUGGAGCUUGGAAGACCACACCCAUCUCAGGCUCAAAGGAGUAAAAGUGAAAAUUCUCUUAAGACCAGUGGGGAAUCCUUCUUACACAAGGAGACCUAGGAUGUUUUUUCAACAUUCUCAGCUACCCAGACACUCGGAGGCUGCUUCAGCAAGGGAGGCUUGGCUGUGUUCAAGAUGGUGGCAGACCUUGGUGUCAACCAUGUGGUGCUGGUUCUGUAGGAAUGCAGGAUGCUGGAAUUAGGGGGCCAUAGAGGCUUCCAACAAGAUUUCAAAAGAAGGCGUUAGAGCCCAGGCAAAGUGCAGCAGGAUCAGAGGCACUCCCUGAGAUGUCAAAGUGUGGAAGUGUGAGGAAGAAGCCGAAGCUGCAGUGGAGACCCCUAAGAUUAAGAAAUGCCAAUAAUGUGGGACAGUGUCCUAGGAAAGCUGCAGGAAUCAAGCAGAGGCAGGCCACAGAAAGGCCACUUGGGCUGCAAUCAACAAGGUCACAGAGGCAGAGCUACAGAAGCUCGUUGAACAGAACAUCACAAUGCCAUGUGCCCCAGAUGCCAGACAUGGAGCCACAGGUAUUGUUUGUCCAGCUGGAUUUCAGUCUUGCUUUGGUCCUAUCUAUAAGGUCCUUACUUAGCAUCUGGACGGUCAUCUUAAGUGACAGCCGCCAUUUUAUGAAAAUGUUUUGCUUUCCCGCCAAAUUGUGUUUCUGAGAAAGGCUCCCUCACCCAACCCCACCCCUAACCUCCUGCAUUAGAACUCUCCGGCCCUAAUCCCUGAGCCUGCUCCAUAAAAGUCCUGGAGGCCAAGCCUGUGUUGCCUCUCUCUCCUGCAGAGAGAUGGCCUUUAUUUGUCAGCUCUGACAGAUAAACUCUCGUGUGUAGCUCUGCCUGGGCUCCGUCUCUCAUUUCUCGCUUGCCCAUCUCCCAUUCCUCACUUUCCCUUCACUAUCCUUUAUUUCUAUCCCCCUAUAUUUCUGAAUAGAAGUGUCUACUCUGUACCAUUAUAUAUUGGAUACUUUUAAAUUGCUUUAAUUUUAUAGGAGCUCACUUGCAAGAUUGCCUUGAGCCUCAGAGAAGACUUUCAACUUGAACUUUGACCAAUCUCGGAACUGUUGAGAGACUAUGGGGCCGUUUCAGAAUGGGCUGAAUGUCUUUUGCAUUGUCAAAUGGGUGUGAGCUUUUGGGGGCCAAAGUCAGAAUGUUAUGGCCUUGAUGUCAUGUGUGAGAUAAUGCAAGAAGAUUUGGAGGAACAAUUGGGAUGUAAAAGCCUUAACCUAAUCAGCGAAUCAGUCACCUGAUUGGAUUAAUUGAGUGUGAGCCACUUCCCUCUGCCAUACUCAUCUGCCAUGAAGUUCAGCCUCACCUUUAGCCCCAAGGAAUGGGACCUGCUGCCUGUGGAUUGAGACCUCUGAAACCGUGAGCCCCUAAAUAAGCUCUUCCUCCUUUAAAUUUGUUCUGGUCAGAUCCUUUAAUCAAAGCAGAAAAAAGCUGACUAAAACAACAUUGUGCUUCCUGGUUGACCAGAAGCUGUUGAUCUUCGUGGGACAGAGGCUCCGCCGGGGUCUCCACUGUGCACCGGUGCCAGUCCCAGGCCCACCUCCACCCUCCUGUCUGUCAUACCAGCUGCUUGCAUGGACUUUGAAGGACACAGGUUUGCACACGUGCCCAGAGGAGGAAAGAGCAAGCGAACGUGAAGACCCAGGACACUACAAGUGGCUGGAGGACUUUGUGGGUGUCACAUGAGGAGUGCAAGGAGCCCGUCUGCCCAAAGCCUCCCUCUCAAUGCCCAUCUAGGCAUCUGAACUCUUAAAGGUUCUUAAAUUUGCCUUCAUGCAAAGGAGGCUUGUGUGGGACGAGCCGUGACAUUGAUGCUUCACCAUCCAGGGAGGCUUCCUGGAAAAGGCAUCUUGGACAGACAAGCAAGAAGGCUCCAAGGGAAGGACGGCGCAUGAACGUGAGAUGUGGGGCCUGCCAUGGUGGAGGAUGGCAGGGCCACCCACCCAAGGAACCCUGAGGCCAGAAGAGGCAAGAGGUGGAGCCCAGCACCCAUGUGACCCCUAGGAGUUGGAGAUUUCUGUCUUCAUGAGGAAAAAAAAAGAAAGGGAGACAAGCUCCCCAGGGAGGAACCAAGGAGAGCCUGGCCCCAGGCCGCCCUUCCAGAAGCAUCUGUGCGGAACUGUGGAGGACUCAUUUUGUUUUGUUUCCAGUACUUCUUGAACAAGUAGUUGUGUAAAUUUGAUUACCAGAAAAAUGAAAUUUCAAAAGAAAUAUAGGACCCAAGUCCCAAAUUUAUUCUCCAAA